AAUAUUUCCCCCCCAAAAUAAGUAAAUAAAAAUAAGUCAAGGAGAACUUCCAAUAAGAUGUUGCACAUGGUGGGUCCCACCCCUGUGAACACCCUUCAGAUGCACUGGCUCCCGUUUGAAGAGACAGUACAGGGACCGCCUGGCUUAUUAAACAGCUCACCGAAUACCACGGAUGAAGUUUAAUGAACUGUGACUCCUCCAAGCCCAGACCACCUAGUUGCAUGCCUUUGAUUAGCGAGGCUGGGAGAUGUGACCUCCUGAACCCUGAGUAGUUGCGGCAGACAGAAACGUAAACACCAGCCAAAGCAGCAAAGUCAUAGGCAUUAACUUUUAACAAAUAUUUAUUGAAUAUCUAGCAGCCUCCACGCUCAUAUUCCAGGAGCGAUUGGCAAACUGAAGGAGGGAGAACAACAGACACGCAUGUGACCAACCACAAUUUGUUUUCACAUGUGCUGCAUGAAAGAACAAAGAAUUCGGAGAACACAUCCAAAAAAGAAAAAGUAAUACAUUCUGCCUGAGGAGUUGGAGGAGCCUGGAGGAACUCACAGAAGUGGUGGCAUUCAAGGAAAGCCUUAGGAAGGAAAGAAAGUCACCAAGCAGAGGAGGUGGGGGAGAACAUUCGAUAAUGAGAGUGGAAACAGCACACAGUGUGGCAGCGAGGAGCACAUGGUGUGUCCAUGGAAGGACUACGAGUUGUGGAGGAAAAACAGUAUUUGAUAUGAGGCUCAGAGGGCGAGAACUGCAGACCCCAGAGGCCUGCGAUGCGAGGUGCACAGAAAUCAGGAUGGCAGGAGCAUCACAAGAGAUGACCUCAGCUGUCUAUGGACAUUAAAAAGAUGUGGUACACAUACACAAUGAAAUACGACUCAGCAAUAAA
This is a long non-coding RNA of Phacochoerus africanus (Common warthog), 877 nucleotides long. RefSeq lists it as uncharacterized. Lineage: Eukaryota; Metazoa; Chordata; Mammalia; Artiodactyla; Suidae. The record is from RefSeq and is a predicted model, not a curated record. The transcript is spliced from 3 exons.